Molecule: long non-coding RNA, 548 nt
Filed under: Mytilus galloprovincialis (Mediterranean mussel)
Lineage: Eukaryota; Metazoa; Mollusca; Bivalvia; Mytilida; Mytilidae
Source: RNAcentral
GAAUUUAUAUUUGUCCGAAGAAAUAAAAACACUAGACUUAACUUUAUUUUACAAAUGCUUUCAAAAAUCAUUAAAGAUAAGAAUGUCCAAUGUAGAUACAAAAAGUUGUGUUUGGAUAUGUCAAAAAGAGACGGAAUACAAAAGGAAUAUACAAAACUAAUAAUUAAUAAAGCUAGGUUUAACAAAAGAGUAAUAAAAACCAAACCAAACAAAGAAAAUUAAGAAGAAUAGUCAACAAUUCUACACAGAAAAACAAACCGUAACAACCUGAAAUUCACAAAACUCGGGUACGGUGGGAGGUGUAUCAAGUCCAGCAGGAGGGUCAACAGAUCUUACUCCACAAUGGACACUCGUCGUGGCACCCAUAGAAAAAUUAAUGAUAACACAUUUUUUUUAUUUAUGCAUCUUAUAAUAACGCAUAGAAAAUUGUUUUUGUUCAGCUCUGAGACUUAACAUAAAUAUAUAAACAUCUGAUGUAUCAGAUGUUUUGUGAAAAUGCGCAUAAUUUGAAUGUAAUAACUUGAGACUUUAGAAUCAAUCCCGAGCGC